Molecule: ribosomal RNA, 499 nt
Filed under: uncultured Glomeromycotina
Lineage: Eukaryota; Fungi; Glomeromycota
Description: partial small subunit ribosomal RNA
Rfam family: Eukaryotic small subunit ribosomal RNA
Source: RNAcentral
CCAAUAGCGUAUAUUAAAGUUGUUGCAGUUAAAAAGCUCGUAGUUGAAUUUCGAGAUCGGUUUAUUGGUCGUGCUAUUGUACGUACUGGUAUUACCGGUUUCUCCUUUCUGACGAACCUUAAUGCCAUUAAUUUGGUGUUUUGGGAAAUCAGGACUGUUACUUUGAAAAAAUUAGAGUGUUUAAAGCAGGCUCACGCUUGAAUACAUUAGCAUGGAAUAACGGAAUAGGACGUUUGAUUCUAUUUUGUUGGUUUCUAGGAUCGACGUAAUGAUUAAUAGGGAUAGUUGGGUGCAUUAGUAUUCAAUUGUCAGAGGUGAAAUUCUUGGAUUUAUUGAAGACUAACUACUGCGAAAGCAUUUGCCAAGGAUGUUUUCAUUAAUCAAGAACGAAAGUUAGGGGAUCGAAGACGAUCAGAUACCGUCGUAGUCUUAACCAUAAACUAUGCCGACUAGGGAUCGGAUGAUGUUAAUUUUUUAAUGACUCAUUCGGCGCCUUACG